Non-coding RNA from Anas platyrhynchos (mallard), 2797 nucleotides. Lineage: Eukaryota; Metazoa; Chordata; Aves; Anseriformes; Anatidae. The record is from RefSeq and is a predicted model, not a curated record.
CUCGCGCUUGGAGCACUGCGCCGGCUUCCACCAGUCCCCAUUGUGGCAGUGGCAGAUGUUGCAGUCGUCCACCUUCACCUCGAUGCCGGCCGGGAUGAUGGUGGUUCCUGCAAAGCAGUUGGGACCUGCGGAAACACGUAGCUGUCCCCAUGAAGGGCUGCUCACAGCACGGGCACGAGGACCCAAAUCUCAACCAGAACACGCUCGGCCGACCCCCAGCAUCUCCUGGUGGCAUCUGAGGAGUGCAGGGCAGGGACUUGAGGCCCCUGAAUGAUGCCCGGGUCCCAGUGACGCAGAUGGAUUUAAUCCUCGCUGCUUCGCACCAUGCUUAGACUGUUACCUGCAGCUCGUUACCAGUCUUAAUCGUUGUCAAUCCCCCAAACAAAUCACAGAAUCACAGAAUGGGUUGACAAGGCCCUUUCAGGCCCGGCAGGGAGUUGCCCCACAGGCCUAUCCCUGACGGCCCUCAACCUCUCCACCUCCUCCUUGAGCCCUGCCACACCACAAGCAAUGCCUCAGCCAGUGCAACCACCACCUCUUAACUGAGGUUUCAGCAGUCACCUGGCCAAACGAGAAGGAUUAUCUCUUUAAAAUCCCUUUACAGACAGCAUAAAGCUUUGGGGGAAUAUGAGAGCUUUUUAAAAAUAUAGGUAGAUUUUAAUGGCGGGCAAUGAAAGCCACUCCUAGGUCAUGCUAACCUUUCAGGGUCGUAAUAGGCUUUUAAAAACUUGUCUAAAUGGGUAUUUCCCCAAAUGAACUCCAGCUGCUCUGAAAGUACAUUAAUUCUUUUAAUAGAUCCAACACGGCAAAUCUUUUUUUUUUUUUUUGGUGGGAGGAGGGGCUGGUAUAAAGGAUUAAUUUAAAAUAAAUCUAUGAAUAAAACUGCCAUGCAGGUACUGCCUCGUUAGCCCUGCCCACGCAAUGGUGUUGGGGCACCCGCUCACCUGCUGGGGCAGGGAUCAGGGGCUCCUGCAGGCAGCAGCAGCCCCGUGAGCACGGAGAUGUGGUGGGGAGCCCUCAUCUACUGAAGGAGGUGGCCCAACAGCCAUCGAGUCCCCAGUGUCUGGGGCUGUGCUCUCUGCCGGGGUGUCUCCAUUCAAAGGCCAAGGUUAACAGCAAAAGUAGAGCAGCCGGGACGUUUUCUCUGGCCCUUUGAGGUUUUUAGCCAACUUCCUCACCUCUUGGUUGUGCUCCGUAUGAAAAUUUAAUCAUUUUUACGGCCCAUUUAAACAUUUUUAUGUCUUUUUUUUUUUUUUCCUGCAGAAAAAAACCCCGCGUUUGAUGUAAGAAUUAAAACAGUAUUUCACCCCUAACUGCAAUCACAGAUGAUGUACGGAAGCGAGCUGGCUGCACGUCAAAUCAAUGUAAAGCCAGAACUGAAUAUAACUUGGUCACUACAGCUGUGCGAGAUGUUUUAUGCUUUUUUUUUUCUUUUUCUUUUCUGUAUCAGUCAUAAAACGAGGCGAAAACUGUGACUGUGCUGAUUUUGUAUAAAACAAGCUUUCCAAUACGUGACAGAGGAGGAAAAAGGAAAUGGGAUUAGUACAUAUGUAUCUGUGUGCUGCAUUUAAUGUGCAGUCUGGUGAAAAAUAAGAGAAAAUAAAGACGGAUGCUCGCUGGGCAGCACCUUUACAAGAAACGUGCCCUGAUCUCCUCUGCUGGGACCCGCACGGAUGUCUCCAGCAGCUGCAGGAGCAGCUUUGAUCCACGUUUCCGUCCCCUCAUCUCCCUCUUCCGAGGGCCCAUUACGCUACCUGAAUUUAAUGGUAUCCAUGGCACUUGCACAAUGCUUUCUAAUGGGGCCGUGCAAAGAGUCAGGUUGCUAAUAAAAUCAAAUGAGCAGCGCUGGUUUUGCAUGUGAAUGGUUGCAUUUAACGAAGCCAUCAAAUGGAAAGGGAUCGCACUUGCCGUCGCUAAUAAUGCCGGGUGCCACUACAAAUGCAUUACCACGAGCUAUGUGGGCUCCGACACGCAGGAGGAUGCCGGGUGACAUUACUCCGAUGUGACAGGGCGGGAGAGCUGUUUUGCACGGCGAGGUAGCAACUAGGAAUGAGGAAAGGCUGGGGGAAAUUUACGGCGGGUACAUGCGAUUCUCCAACACCCCCCCAAAUUUUCAGAACGCUUCAUUACCCCUCACGCUGCCGGUCUGUUUUCAUUAGGUGUCACUGGGUACAGCUGUUUUGUACUCUCUGGCCUUGGUGGCACCACUGGUCGAGCAGCUCACAACCUUUUUCCACUGCUCCUAGAGCUACACAGAGAAGACCUGGGGUGGUGCUGCCCAGGUAGGGGUGGGGAGGGCACAGCUGUGGGCACCCACCCACUCCUGUGGAUGGGGUGGAGCACCAAAACCCAGCAGAUUCACCGCACCAGCAGGGUUUUUCUGGGGGAUUUCGGCCGGCCAUCACCUUAUGCUGGCAUUACAGGGCACUGUUAUGGGCAGGGGAGAGGUGCCAAUGCUGGGAACCAGGACCCCAGAAGGAAAUCCCACAGUCAUCACUUAAAAGUCACUCCUGCCCUGCUCCUUCUCACCUUCCUUUUUGCCUCUAGAAAUUUAUUUAAAAGCCAGAAGCGGGAUUUAGACGUUAGAGCAGCUACUGACCUGAUACGAGUUAAUGAUUUUACAAAAUGCCUAAAAAAUGUCUUACUUUAAAAGAUUGAUGUUUCCUAUUGUAUUUUUUCAAUGCCAAUUAAUUACUUAAUUCAUUAGCAAUGUAACACAAGAAUAGUCUUUGAAAAUCCAGUGCUUUGUGUAGAUGCCUUUAAUUAUGGAUAAUUAAAUACUGUGGAAGGACCUGAU